GUUAAUUUUUUAUUAUCUUUACUCAAGGUAUUAGUCUUUUGAGUUAAGAGUUGAUUGCUUGUCUUAAGUUCUAAAUUUUCUUUGAUAAGAACAUCUUUAUCCUUAACUAAUGAAUCAUACUUACGGAUAUAAGUUUGGUUAGUUACUUUUAGUUCUUUGUUUUUAGCAUUUAUAGCCUUAUAUUCAAUCAUUAGUUCAUUAAAAGCAUCAUAAAGCUCAUCAAAAAUAAAAUCUAAAGGCGAUUCGGACGUUACCUCAUUUUCAUUGGCCAUGAAGUAGAAAUUGGCCUUUUCCUCUUGUUCCUCAUCCGAUGAAGAGAAUGAUGAGUCAGAGUCGGAUAGUGUUGUGACAAGAGCCUUCUUCUUCUUGUACUUGCUCCCCUUCUUCAGUAAAGGGCACUCAGCUCUUAUGUGACCCGGCUUCUUGCACUCGUAACACCCAAUCCCCUCAUUUUCCCUUUCCUUACCUUUGUCCUUGCGGUAGAAAUUUGAGGGGCCUCUCCUUUGAUG
This 509-nucleotide long non-coding RNA is filed under the name Phoenix dactylifera (date palm). RNAcentral describes it as "long non-coding RNA (PDAC_LNC022558)". Lineage: Eukaryota; Viridiplantae; Streptophyta; Magnoliopsida; Arecales; Arecaceae. The record is from RNAcentral.